UACAGCCUACGGGAGGCAGCAGUGGGGAAUAUUGCACAAUGGGGGAAACCCUGAUGCAGCGACGCCGCGUGAGUGAAGAAGUAAUUCGUUAUGUAAAGCUCUAUCAGCAGGGAAGAAAAUGACGGUACCUGAGUAAGAAGCCCCGGCUAACUACGUGCCAGCAGCCGCGGUAAUACGUAGGGGGCAAGCGUUAUCCGGAUUUACUGGGCGUAAAGCGCUCGUAGGCGGUAUGUCAAGUCAAGGGUGAAAUCCCCGCGCUCAACGUGGGAACUGCCUUUGAAACUGGCAAACUGGAGUGUGUGAGG
Molecule: ribosomal RNA, 305 nt
Filed under: uncultured bacterium
Lineage: Bacteria
Description: bacterial SSU rRNA
Rfam family: Bacterial small subunit ribosomal RNA
Source: RNAcentral